Molecule: ribosomal RNA, 139 nt
Filed under: Cordyceps fumosorosea
Lineage: Eukaryota; Fungi; Ascomycota; Sordariomycetes; Hypocreales; Cordycipitaceae
Description: partial 28S ribosomal RNA
Source: RNAcentral
CAUACCGCCGGCCCCGAAAUACAGUGGCGGCCCGUCCGCGGCGACCUCUGCGUAGUACUCCAACGCGCACCGGGAACCCGACGCGGCCACGCCGUAAAACACCCAACUUCUGAACGUUGACCUCGGAUCAGGUAGGACU